UUAAAUUGAAGAGUUUGAUCAUGGCUCAGAUUGAACGCUGGCGGCAGGCCUAACACAUGCAAGUCGAACGGUAACAGGGAAACAGCUUGCUG
RNAcentral lists this ribosomal RNA (92 nucleotides) under Escherichia coli. Its description in RNAcentral is "partial 16S ribosomal RNA". It matches the Rfam family "Bacterial small subunit ribosomal RNA", at positions 1 to 89 of the family's 1533-position model. RNAcentral also lists the same sequence under 1 other name. Lineage: Bacteria; Pseudomonadati; Pseudomonadota; Gammaproteobacteria; Enterobacterales; Enterobacteriaceae. The record is from RNAcentral.